UGAACCCAGGACCUCACAUGUGUUAU
RNAcentral lists this unclassified non-coding RNA (26 nucleotides) under Mus musculus (house mouse). Its description in RNAcentral is "oocyte_clustered_small_RNA12256". Lineage: Eukaryota; Metazoa; Chordata; Mammalia; Rodentia; Muridae. The record is from RNAcentral.